GAUGAACGCUGGCGGCGUGCCUAAUACAUGCAAGUCGAGCGAACAGACGAGGAGCUUGCUCCUCUGACGUUAGCGGCGGACGGGUGAGUACCACGUGGAUAACCUACCUAUAAUACUGGGAUAACUUCGGGAAACCGGAGCUAAUACCGGAUAAUAUAUUGAACCGCAUGGUUCAAUAGUGAAAGACGGUUUUGCUGUCACUUAUAGAUGGAUCCGCGCCGCAUUAGCUAGUUGGUAAGGUAACGGCUUACCAAGGCAACGAUGCGUAGCCGACCUGAUAGGGUGAUCGGCCACACUGGAACUGAGACACGGUCCAGACGCCUACGGGAGGCAGCAGUAGAGAAUCUUCCGCAAUGGGCGAAAGCUUGACGGAGCAACGCCGCGUGAGUGAUGAAGGUCUUCGGAUCGUAAAACUCUGUUAUUAGGGAAGAACAAAUGUGUAAGUAACUAUGCACGUCUUGACGGUACCUAAUCAGAAAGCCACGGCUAACUACGUG
Molecule: ribosomal RNA, 497 nt
Filed under: uncultured bacterium
Lineage: Bacteria
Description: partial 16S ribosomal RNA
Rfam family: Bacterial small subunit ribosomal RNA
Source: RNAcentral